This 786-nucleotide ribosomal RNA is filed under the name uncultured archaeon. RNAcentral describes it as "bacterial SSU rRNA". It matches the Rfam family "Archaeal small subunit ribosomal RNA", at positions 82 to 857 of the family's 1478-position model. The record is from RNAcentral.
CAAACUGCUCAGUAACACAUGAUCAACUUGCCCUAUAGAGAAAAAUAACCUCGGGAAACUGAGGAUAAUAUUUCAUAGUUGAAAAGGCUUGGAAAAGUUUUUCAAUAAAAGGGAUAAGAAAAAUGGUUCUUAUUCGCUAUAGGAUAGGAUCGUGGUCGAUUAUGGUUGUUGGUGAGGUAAUGGCUCACCAAGCCGAUAAUCGAUAGGGGCCGUGAGAGCGGGAGCCCCGAGAUGGGUACUGAGACAACGACCCAGGUCUUACGAGACGCAGCAGGCGCGAAACCUCCGCAAUACACGAAAGUGUGACGGGGUUACCCAAAGUGUUCAAUUUUGAACUGUGGUAGGUGAGUAAUGUCCCCUACUAGAAAGGAGAGGGCAAGGCUGGUGCCAGCCGCCGCGGUAAAACCAGCUCUUCAAGUGGUCGGGAAAAUUAUUGGGCUUAAAGUGUCCGUAGCCGGUUUAGUAAGUUCCUGGUAAAAUCGGGUAGCUUAACUAUCUGUAUGCUAGGAAUACUGCUAUACUAGAGGGCGGGAGAGGUCUGAGGUACUACAGGGGUAGGGGUGAAAUCUUAUAAUCCUUGUAGGACCACCAGUGGCGAAGGCGUCAGACUGGAACGUGCCUGACGGUGAGGGACGAAAGCCAGGGGAGCGAACCGGAUUAGAUACCCGGGUAGUCCUGGCCGUAAACGAUGCAUACUAGGUGAUGGCAUGGCCAUGAGCCGUGUCAGUGCCGUAGGGAAACCGUUAAGUGUGCCGCCUGGGAAGUACGGUCGCAAGGCUAAAACUU